RNAcentral lists this transfer RNA (80 nucleotides) under Roseovarius nubinhibens ISM. RNAcentral's name for it is "tRNA-Asp". Lineage: Bacteria; Pseudomonadati; Pseudomonadota; Alphaproteobacteria; Rhodobacterales; Roseobacteraceae. The record is from RNAcentral.
CGGCUGGUGGAUGAGGUCGAGGUUGGCAACCUGUCGCGUCGCUGCCCGAGACGCCCUUUGGUGGCGUCAAGGCCAGCGGC